GGCUAAUCAGUGCACUUAAAAAGGCACUGCUUCCCCAUUGCUGGCCAGUAAGGAAGUCGCUCGCGCACCCUGCAGCACCGCUCGGCGGCACCCGGACAUGCGGCACAACGCGCGGCCCCUGGGUGUGCUGGCAGCCGUUGCCAAGGGACUCCUCCUGCUCUGGGCCGUGCCUGCACACAGCACUCAGCCCCCAUCCCCGCAGCAGACCCAGGCCUUGCUGCGGCACAUGGCCGAGGAUGCACAGGAGCUCUUCAAACUCUACGAACAGGAACAGCACCUGGCCCACAACUUGUGCCGGGCCAACAGCUCGCUGGAGUGGCUGCGGGGGACUUUGGGGUCAAGAGAGAAGGAUCUGCGGGCACUGCACAGCACCAUGACCCGCAUGGAGCGGGAGCUGCAGGACAUUUUCCAGCACCAGAGCAAUCUCCAUCCACCCGAUGCCACCAUCCUGCACCGCCUCCGCAGCGCCCGCAUGAAGGUGCGCGGGCUGCUGGCCCACCUGCACGACACCAUGGAGGCCCGUGGCAUCGUCCCCUCCACCAUCCCUCCAUCCCGGGGGCCGGCGGCCAGCAAGGUGUUCCAGCAGAAGCUGCAGGGUUGCCGCGUGCUGUGGAAUUACGCCCGCUUCGUGGCCAAGCUCAGCGCCCGCAUGGAGCGCAUGGAGCGCACGCGGGCACGGCGCGAGGAGAGGGGCCGGCGGCGAGGGCGGCGGCGGGGAUGGAGGACAAGCAGACCCUAAAGGAGAUCUCCAUGCCAACACCAAGCCUGCAGGGAUGUAGAGCUGUGCCCGGUGCUGGCACCGGGGUCACUAUGGGUUGGUGACAGCCCGCCCUGCCGGAUUUUCCAGUGAUUCAAUGGGUCCGGUGACACAGCCUGACUAAGGGGCCCAACACCCGCACACGGCACAGCACCGGCUGUGAGUGCCGCCCGUCUGUCCCCCUGCAACCCCCACUGCCAUCUCAGGGGGUUUGGUGACCCUGGAGAUCAGAGCCCCUGAGAGCUUGGUGCCCUUUCCAUCAUCUUGGUGCCCUUCCCAUCAUCUUGGUGCCCUUCCCAUCUUGGUGCCCUUUCCAUCAUCUUGGUGUCCUUCCCAUCUUGGUGUCCCCACUCGUGUGGUGUCUCUGUGAGCUUGGGGUCCCUUAUUAGUUUUGGGUCCCUUCAAGCUUGGUGUCCUUCUGAGCUCUGUGUCCCCGCUCCCUCGGUGUCCCUGUUAGCUUUGUGUUCCUUAAAGUCUUGGUGUCCCUUCAAACUUGAUUUCCCCACUCAGUUGGUGACCCCACACUCACUUGACAUCCCUACAAGCUUGGGGUCCCUAUUAAUUUUGUGUCCCUCCUACCUUGAUGUCCCCACUCACUUGACACCCCCACUCGAGGGCACGGUGUCCCCUUUCAGCAUCCUCAUGAGCACACUGAGCUCACCUCUGUGCUUUCCUCCUCACCCCUCCUCACUCUCUGUCCCCAUCAUCCCCAUUCCCACCCCAUCCCGUCAUCACCCCACACCCUUGGGGUGCCCCCAGGUGUUGGGCACAGCCCCGUGCUCUGGCAGUGGGCACCGACCCCCCCAUAACUUAUACAUGACAGUGGUUCCUGUAUUUAUUGAAGCCAUCAAAUUAAUUUAACGCAUCCCCGCCCUGGGGAUGAAUAUUUAAGUUUACACUUUUAAUAUAUAAAUGGAUAUCUAUUUUUGUUAAUUUUUUUUUUUAUUGUAUUGUGUUAAAGUAUAAAUGUGAUGAUAUUUUAUUUAUGAAUGCAAAUAUUAUUUUGUACUGGAAGAAGGGACCAACCCUUUAUUUUUCUAUGGCAGCAGAUGGAAAUAAAGUCUUGACCUCGGCCUGUGGGCUGAUGCCU
This 1847-nucleotide long non-coding RNA is filed under the name Phasianus colchicus (ring-necked pheasant). RNAcentral describes it as "lncRNA (ENSPCLG00000005297.1)". The record is from RNAcentral. Lineage: Eukaryota; Metazoa; Chordata; Aves; Galliformes; Phasianidae.